This 301-nucleotide ribosomal RNA is filed under the name uncultured Methanimicrococcus sp. RNAcentral's name for it is "bacterial SSU rRNA". It matches the Rfam family "Bacterial small subunit ribosomal RNA", at positions 495 to 795 of the family's 1533-position model. Lineage: Archaea; Methanobacteriati; Methanobacteriota; Methanomicrobia; Methanosarcinales; Methanosarcinaceae. The record is from RNAcentral.
UGGUUAUGUGGUGCCAGGUGGUGGGGGAAUUGAGGGGGCCCGAGCGUUGUUCGGAGUGACUUGGCGUCAAGGGGGCUCAGGUGGCAUGGCAAGUUUUGUGUGAAAUGUCCGGGCUCAACCCGGAAAAUGCAUUGAAUACUGUCGUGCUGGAGGGUGGGAGGGGGGACUGGAAUUCUCGGUGUAGCAGUGAAAUGCGUAGAUAUCGAGAGGAACACCAGUGGCGAAGGCGAGUCCCUGGACAACACCUGACACUGAGGCACGAAAGCUAGGGGAGCAAACAGGAUUAGAUACCCCUGUAGUC